Molecule: ribosomal RNA, 495 nt
Filed under: Onymocoris izzardi
Lineage: Eukaryota; Metazoa; Arthropoda; Insecta; Hemiptera; Thaumastocoridae
Description: partial 16S ribosomal RNA
Source: RNAcentral
GUCCUAAUGGUAUAGUUUUUUAUUAGGUUUAACNCUGCUCAAUGCAUUGGUUUAGAAUUAAAUAGCCGCAGUAUUUUGACUGUGCGAAGGUAGCAUAAUCAUUUGUCUUUUAAUUAAGGGCUAGUAUGAAUGGUUGGAUGAGAGGAUAACUUUCUUUAUAUUAUAUAAUGAAUUUAAUUUCUUAGUUAAAAAGCUUAGAUGUUUUAAAGGGACGAGAAGACCCUAUAGAAUUUAAAUUGCAUAAAAGAUAAUUUUUAUUUUAGGUAUUAUUUAUUUUAUAUAUUAUGUAAUUUUUGUUGGGGUGAUAGUGGGAAUUAAAAAACUCCCAUAUUAAAAAUAUUAAUAAUUUUUAUAUUUAAGAUCCUUUAUUAAGGAGAAAUAGAUUAAAUUACCUUAGGGAUAACAGCGUAAUUUUUCUGGAGAGUUCAUAUCGAUAGAAGAGUUUGCGACCUCGAUGUUGGAUUAAAUUGAGAUUUAAGUGCAGAAGCUUAAAUU